Non-coding RNA from Paramuricea clavata, 347 nucleotides. The record is from the annotation of a GenBank genome assembly. NCBI's taxonomy places the organism in Eukaryota, Metazoa, Cnidaria, Anthozoa, Malacalcyonacea, Plexauridae.
GGAUGCAUUAGUAAAUGGAUUUUUUUAAACAUAUAGUAAUUAAUUUUUUUCAGAAUGAUCACUUUUGGCGUUUUGCAUUUCAUGUUAUAUUAGCAAGGGUUUUGAAGAUGGAAAUUUUGAGUGCGAAUCUUAAUAGAAAAAUGCAACAAUGUGCCAGGACUUGUUCGAUUCCUGCCAGAGGGCGUAUUGUUGCAUUUUCCGCGACUGUUCCUGGUUAGGUUUAAUAAAUGUGUAAAAUUUACCCUCGAAAUUUCCAUCUACAAAACCUUUGAGCAAUUAAUUCUAACGAUUGAGAUGCCCAGAAUCCUGAUUUAUAAUAGCAAGCCCCAUUCAGUUGCCGGUGGGUG